This 482-nucleotide ribosomal RNA is filed under the name uncultured bacterium. Its description in RNAcentral is "partial 16S ribosomal RNA". It matches the Rfam family "Bacterial small subunit ribosomal RNA", at positions 30 to 507 of the family's 1533-position model. The record is from RNAcentral.
AUUGAACGCUGGCGGCAUGCCUUACACAUGCAAGUCGAACGGUAACGGGCCUUCGGGUGCCGACGAGUGGCGAACGGGUGAGUAAUACAUCGGAACGUGCCCGAUCGUGGGGGAUAACGAGGCGAAAGCUUUGCUAAUACCGCAUACGAUCUACGGAUGAAAGCAGGGGACCGCAAGGCCUUGCGCGGACGGAGCGGCCGAUGGCAGAUUAGGUAGUUGGUGGGAUAAAAGCUUACCAAGCCGACGAUCUGUAGCUGGUCUGAGAGGAUGAUCAGCCACACUGGGACUGAGACACGGCCCAGACUCCUACGGGAGGCAGCAGUGGGGAAUUUUGGACAAUGGGCGCAAGCCUGAUCCAGCCAUGCCGCGUGCAGGAUGAAGGCCUUCGGGUUGUAAACUGCUCUUGUACGGAACGAAAAGCCUUCUUUUAAUACAGGAGGGUCAUGACGGUACCGUAAGAAUAAGCACCGGCUAACUACGUG